This 484-nucleotide ribosomal RNA is filed under the name uncultured bacterium. Its description in RNAcentral is "partial 16S ribosomal RNA". It matches the Rfam family "Bacterial small subunit ribosomal RNA", at positions 30 to 507 of the family's 1533-position model. The record is from RNAcentral.
AUUGAACGCUGGCGGCAGGCCUAACACAUGCCAGUCGAGCGGAUGAAGGGAGCUUGCUCCUGGAUUCAGCGGCGGACGGGUGAGUAAUGCCUAGGAAUCUGCCUGGUAGUGGGGGAUAACGUCCGGAAACGGGCGCUAAUACCGCAUACGUCCUGAGGGAGAAAGUGGGGGAUCUUCGGACCUCACGCUAUCAGAUGAGCCUAGGUCGGAUUAGCUAGUUGGUGGGGUAAAGGCCUACCAAGGCGACGAUCCGUAACUGGUCUGAGAGGAUGAUCAGUCACACUGGAACUGAGACACGGUCCAGACUCCUACGGGAGGCAGCAGUGGGGAAUAUUGGACAAUGGGCGAAAGCCUGAUCCAGCCAUGCCGCGUGUGUGAAGAAGGUCUUCGGAUUGUAAAGCACUUUAAGUUGGGAGGAAGGGCAGUAAGUUAAUACCUUGCUGUUUUGACGUUACCAACAGAAUAAGCACCGGCUAGCUUCGUG